RNAcentral lists this ribosomal RNA (253 nucleotides) under uncultured bacterium. RNAcentral's name for it is "partial 16S ribosomal RNA". It matches the Rfam family "Bacterial small subunit ribosomal RNA", at positions 524 to 776 of the family's 1533-position model. The record is from RNAcentral.
UACGUAGGGGGCAAGCGUUGUCCGGAUUUAUUGGGCGUAAAGAGCGUGUAGGCGGCCAGGUAGGUCUGCUGUGAAAACUCGAGGCUCAACCUCGAGAUGUCGGCGGAAACCAUCUGGCUAGAGUCCGGAAGAGGAGAGUGGAAUUCCUGGUGUAGCGGUGAAAUGCGCAGAUAUCAGGAAGAACACCCGUGGCGAAGGCGGCCCUCUGGGACGGUACUGACGCUGAGACGCGAAAGCGUGGGGAGCAAACAGG